This 448-nucleotide ribosomal RNA is filed under the name uncultured bacterium. RNAcentral describes it as "SSU rRNA". It matches the Rfam family "Bacterial small subunit ribosomal RNA", at positions 26 to 518 of the family's 1533-position model. The record is from RNAcentral.
AGAACGAACGCUGGCGGCAGGCCUCAAACAUGCAAGUCUAGGGGAUGUAGCAAUACAUCACCGGCGGACGGGUGCGUAACACGUGGGAAUAUACCUUUCGGUACGGAACAACUGCGGGAAACUGCAGCUAAUACCGUAUACGUCCUUACGGAGAAAGAUUUAUCGCCGAAGGAUUAGCCCGCGUUCGAUUAGCUAGUUGGUGAGGUAAUGGCUCACCAAGGCGACGAUCGAUAGCUGUUCUGAGAGGAAGAUCAGCCACACUGGGACUGAGACACGGCCCAAACUCCUACGGGAGGCAGCAGUUGGGAAUCUUGGACAAUGGGGGAAACCCUGAUCCAGCCAUGCCGCGUGAGUGAUGAAGGUCUUCGGGUUGUAAAGCUCUUUUACCCGGGAAGAUAAUGACUGUACCGGGAGAAUAAGCUCCGGCUAACUUCGUGCCAGCAGCCGC